GAUGAACGCUGGCGGCGUGCCUAAUACAUGCAAGUCGAACGCUAAGGGCAGUAGCUUGCUCUUUCCGCAUGAGUUGCGUACGUGUGAGUAACGCGUAGGUACCCUCACUGUUAGCGGGGGAUAACUAUUGGAAACGAUAGCUAAUACCGCAUAACACUAGCUUUUGCAUGAUAUCUACUUAAAAGGUGCAAUUGCACCACUACCAGAUGGACCUGCGUUGUAUUAGCGAGUUGGUGAGGUAACGGCUCACCCAGGCGACGAUACAUAGCCGACCAGGGAGGGUGAUCUGCCACGCUGGGAAGGAGACACGGCCCAGAUGGGUACGGGAGGCAGCAGAAGGGAAUAUGGGGCAAUGGACGGAAGACUGACCGAGAAACGCCGAGUGAGGGAAGAAGGUUUUCGGAGUGUAAAGCGCCGUUGUAAGGGAAGAAAGAGUGUUAGAGUGGAAAGGACACGAUGGGACGGGAACUGACCAGAGAGGGACGGCUAACUUCGUG
Molecule: ribosomal RNA, 497 nt
Filed under: uncultured bacterium
Lineage: Bacteria
Description: partial 16S ribosomal RNA
Rfam family: Bacterial small subunit ribosomal RNA
Source: RNAcentral